UCCAUAGCUAGGGUUUGUUUCAAGUUUCCAAGCUCCAUAGUAAGUGAUUCCAAGCCCCGUUUUUAAUGUUCUUUACGUUUUUGGAAUCCCGGUAGCUCGAUUAAGCUUAUGUUAGCAAUAAUUCAACCUAGGGUUUAUAUUUGGAAAAAUACCCAUAGGUGAAAUUUGUGUAUUUUGAUGUUUUAUGAUAGAAUAUGGGGUUUUAAAUUAUGUUAGACAACUUGUACUACUCGAUUUUAAGCAAAAACGAGUAAAAGGGCUUAAUCGGUAAAAAUACCUAAUAGUCACAAUUACAUGUUAGAGUGAGAAUUUGAUGUUGCCAUAGAAGAGAAAAGUGAUCAGCAUGUUGUAAAACAUAAGAAUAAGGAAUAAAGUUUAAUCCCGAGCCUAGGGGCAAAAAUGUAAAUAUGCAAAAGUUUAGGGGCAAAAUUGUAAUUUUGCCAAAAUUUGAGUUAAGGAUUAAUUUGAUAAUGUGAGUAUUAAAUGAGUGUUAUUUUAGUCAAGAAAGACGUGGAAUCGACCUCAAUCGAGGAAAAGAAAAGAUUGUGGACUAAAUUGCAAAAUCUUUGUAUUUUGGUACCAAGGUAAGUUCAUGUGUAAAUAAUGUAGCAUAAUUGUUAUUUUUAAGUUAUUGAUAUUAAUUAUGUGUUAUGCUGAAUUUCAUUAUGAAAUGUAUGCUUUGUGGUUAAUUUCAAAUAAUAUGUAAAUUAUGUGAGCUACUUGUUAAAUAUAAUUGUUACCGAGUAUUGAUUUCGGCAUUCUACGGAAGAUGGCAAGGAUAAGUGUUCGAGGAAAAUCCCGUUUGAACCUUAGGAAUAGAUUAGGAUACAAGUGACAUGUCACUAGGAUGGUUGAGCAUCCGAACUCGUUGAGUUGAGUCCGAGUUCACUUAUGGAUGCGAAUGUCCGAACUCGUUGAGUUGAGUCCGAGUUCGUGAGAUGUAACUAGGCAUCCGAACUCGUUGAGUUGAGUCCGAGUUCACUUAUGGAUGCGAACGCCCGAGCUCGUUGAGUUGAGUCCGAGUUCGCUUAUGGGCGGGUUACAUGAUGGCUUGAUUGAAUAUGUGGCACUUAUAUGCAAAUUAUCCAUGUAUCCGAAUUAUAUUCCGAUGUGUUCAACGGGUAAAGUUUUACUCAAAUGGAGGAAUACUCGAGAUGAAAAGAGACGUAUUGGUAAGUGAUGAGAAAUGGAUAUUUUGGACAGGUAUGUAUUUAACCCUCGGGUUGAGUGUUGAUUACAACCACGAUAAGGUAAUAAGAUGAUGAAAAAUGAUUAAAAAAUGUGAUAAGUGUGUUGAUGAUAUAUGCUAAUGUUGAUUAGUUUGAUUGUUUGUUAUGUUAUUUAUUAUUUACAUAUGAACUUACUAAGCAUUUAUGCUUACUCCCUCCUUCUUACUCAUUGUAGUUUUGGACAAGCCAGUUCAGGAGUCGAGAUAGGUCGAAGGCUCAGUCACACUAUCCGGAAGAUUUUUGGUAAAUGACUUGUAAAUUUAAGUAUGGCAUGUAUAGCAAUAUACUUAUUUUGUGUAAAUGAUCUUAUGAUAUAGUGACAGAAUGGUUGAGAAAAUAUUUGAUAAUGAUAAAUUAUGAAAAUGGUAAGUUUAGAUUAUGUUUGAUGUUAAGGAAAAUU
This 1629-nucleotide long non-coding RNA is filed under the name Gossypium barbadense (sea-island cotton). Its description in RNAcentral is "long non-coding RNA (GBAR_LNC008579)". Lineage: Eukaryota; Viridiplantae; Streptophyta; Magnoliopsida; Malvales; Malvaceae. The record is from RNAcentral.